RNAcentral lists this small RNA (540 nucleotides) under Pongo abelii (Sumatran orangutan). Its description in RNAcentral is "retained intron". The record is from RNAcentral. Lineage: Eukaryota; Metazoa; Chordata; Mammalia; Primates; Hominidae.
GGGAAGAGUCCGCAGGGGCCCUGGAGCCGGACUGGCCAGUCUCUAGGGGCUCUCCAUGUGCUGUCCUGAAGGGAAAGUCCUAUUUCUAAAAGAGAGCCACGCUUAAGGCGUGCCUUUAGUAGAGACUUUGCUUUUUCUUGCUAGUUGAUGAACCAGGAACUGAUGUCUGUUAACUUUACGGAGUACUUGGAUAUCAUAUUUGUUAUUUCUCUGGAGUUUCUAAAAUCGAGGUGGAGUGCCGGGCACGGUGGCCCACGGCUGUAAUCCCAGCACUUUGGGAAGCCGAGGCGGGUGGAUCAUUUGAGGUCAGGAGUUCGAGACCGCCCUGGCCAACAUGGAAAGAAAAGGAACAGCCAAAGUGGACUUUUUGAAGAAGAUUGAGAAAGAAAUCCAACAGAAAUGGGAUACUGAGAGAGUGUUUGAGGUCAAUGCAUCUAGUUUAGAGAAACAGACCAGCAAGGGCAAGUAUUUUGUAACCUUCCCAUAUCCAUAUAUGAAUGGACGCCUUCAUUUGGGACACACGUUUUCUUUAUCCAAAUG